RNAcentral lists this ribosomal RNA (253 nucleotides) under uncultured bacterium. RNAcentral's name for it is "partial 16S ribosomal RNA". It matches the Rfam family "Bacterial small subunit ribosomal RNA", at positions 524 to 776 of the family's 1533-position model. The record is from RNAcentral.
UACAGAGGUCCCAAGCGUUGUUCGGAUUCACUGGGCGUAAAGGGUGCGCAGGUGGUCGGGUAAGUCUGAUGUGAAAUCCCGCAGCUCAACUGCGGAAUGGCAUUGGAUACUAUUUGGCUAGAGGGUUGGAGGGGGGACUGGAAUUCUCGGUGUAGCAGUGAAAUGCGUAGAUAUCGAGAGGAACACCAGUGGCGAAGGCGAGUCCCUGGACAGUGACUGACGCUGAGACGCGAAAGCGUGGGGAGCAAACAGG